GGAAUCUACAAUGGAAGGACACAAGAAAGAUCAGCUGGAUUAAGUAGUCAUGAUUAUGCAAAGCCAUAUCCAGAGACCAAGGUGUAAAGCAGGUCGGAGAAAAUGGAAAUCUUAAGAUUGGCUCAGUCAAAAAGAAACAUUAUCAGUUUGAACAUGGACCUUGAAAGGGAUGUGCAGAGAAUAGAUGAAGCAAAUCAGAAACUUCUUCUCAAAAUCCAAGAGAGAGAAGAUAAGAUUCAGAGGCUGGAAAGUGAAACCAUUCAGAUGGGGGACCUGGUGGAAGAUGAAGAGUGGGAGAAGGAGAACCACACCACGAUGGAAAGGGAAAGAGCUUUGCAGGAGCUGGAGGAAGAAACAGCCAGACUUGAAAGGAAGAAUAAGACGUUGGUCCACAGUAUAACAGAACUUCAACAAAAGCUUACAAGGAAAUCACAAAAGAUAACCAAUUGUGAACAAAGCAGUCCAGAUGGAGCCCUACAAGAGACAAAGGCUAAGUUACAACAGCUGGAAGCUUCCUAUGCACGCCAAGAGAAGGAGCUGCUCAAGGUAAUGAAGGAAUAUGCAUUUGUGACCCAGCUCUGUGAAGAUCAAGCCCUCUACAUAAAGAAGUACCAGGAAACGUUGAAGAAAAUAGAAGAAGAACUAGAGGCUCGGUUCCUUGAGAGAGAAGUGUGAGCUUUGGCAAAGGAACAUGCUGGUUUUGGUAGAAACUCCAUCUCAGCCUGAAUCAGAGCAAACAGUUCUCAGACCAAUUUCUAUUUGGAAUUCAAUGAGUCCCAACACCACAUUUCUUUGCUCUCUGU
This 803-nucleotide small RNA is filed under the name Pongo abelii (Sumatran orangutan). RNAcentral describes it as "retained intron". Lineage: Eukaryota; Metazoa; Chordata; Mammalia; Primates; Hominidae. The record is from RNAcentral.